GACGAACGCUGGCGGCGUGCUUAACACAUGCAAGUCGAGCGGUAAGGCCCUUUCGGGGGUACACGAGCGGCGAACGGGUGAGUAACACGUGGGUGACCUGCCCUCAGCUCUGGGAUAAGCCUGGGAAACCGGGUCUAAUACCGGAUAUGACUCCAUGACGCAUGUUGUGGGGUGGAAAGCCUUGUGCGGCUGAGGAUGGGCCCGCGGCCUAUCAGCUUGUUGGUGGGGUGAUGGCCUACCAAGGCGACGACGGGUAGCCGGCCUGAGAGGGCGACCGGCCACACUGGGACUGAGACACGGCCCAGACUCCUACGGGAGGCAGCAGUGGGGAAUAUUGGACAAUGGGCGAAAGCCUGAUCCAGCGAUGCCGCGUGUGUGAAGAAGGCCUGCGGGUUGUAAAGCAC
RNAcentral lists this ribosomal RNA (404 nucleotides) under uncultured bacterium. RNAcentral's name for it is "bacterial SSU rRNA". It matches the Rfam family "Bacterial small subunit ribosomal RNA", at positions 28 to 433 of the family's 1533-position model. The record is from RNAcentral.